CUGGCAUACAUGUGUGUGCGUUUUUAUGUGUGUGUGCAUGUGUUGUUGACCGUAUUUGUGUGUGUACGUGUCUUUGUGUGCUCAUGCUGGUGCGUGUGUUGCACAUUGUAAUACGUGUCAUUGGCCAGAUUGCCAUAGUUGGCAUCCUUCUCAGUGUCACAAUGGGUGGACAUAUAAGUGCACGAUCUGCAACUGCAUUGAUGCCAUGUGCUAAAUGUUGCAUAUUCGGUGAAAAUUAAUAUGAAUGCAUAUGGUGUGAAAUCAGCAUUUACGUAGGUGUGUGUUACUGCAACACGCAGUGCGUGUGCGCACAUGCGUGUGCUCGUGCAUGCGUGUUCACAUGCUUUGUCAUACUCACUGCAGUGUAUACGGUGCGUAAAUUAAUGUAUGCCAUACGAUAAUUUAUGUAUGGCUUACAUGUGAAGGUUUGGAUGCUUUCAUCGCAAUGGCCCGUAUUGUGCGUCUGUUUGGUGUGCGUUGUAAGAGAAUAUCACAUUAUAUAUUCAGCAUUGCAAUGCGGGUCAGUGUAUCGUGAAAGCGAAGAGAAAUUAAUCUUGGAAAAAUAAAACAAAUCAUUUUAACAUUUUACUCGCAUGGAAACUGCGUGAUAUAUUUUCUGUCCGUCUUGCGAUUGAAAUCUGCUGGAGAACAAUUGGAUCGUGAGAUGGCGGCGUGUUGGGGAGGCCUUCAUCCAGCAGUUGAUUGAGCAUGGCUUACGAUGAUUACAAUUUAGUAUAACUCUACAUGGCUUCACAUUUUUUUCCAUCUGUUCAUUUAAAUCGACACCGAAAUGUCACCACGCAAUUUUUUUACGUAUUGUUUCAAAAGAAUAAGCCAAUAUAUUAGUGUUAAAACAGAAUAUUGAUUAUGAAAUAUCAAACCAAAAUGGACAGAUGAACCAACUAAUGCCUGUGCCAAAAAUAAUCGCUUUGAAAAUUGAACUCGAGAAAUGUGCAUAUUAAACACGUAAACUCCUUCACAUUAUUUUAUUCACAAGCUUAUGAUAACCCAACAAUAGUCCAUCGCCAUUGUCCGUUAUUUAACCAGGAUAUAGAAUAAUGAACCUAUUGAGACACAUGAACAGUAAUGGCUCUUUUGUAAAGGAGACCUGGGCGGUUAAUGUCCGCAUAGCGACAGAUUUUGCAAAAUAUAUAAAAAAUAUAAUUCCGCUACUACAUGUAUAUAUAGCCUAUGGCCAGGGUGUGGGCAAAUGCACAUGUAUACAUAUAUAUAAAAAAAUACAUAUAUGCACAUGCAUAAUGUAUACAAUGUACAUGUUCUGUAUACUGGGAACGGUGGUGUAUCGGUUCUCACCGUUGCGUUACAAUCCCAAGUGGGCGGCAAUCAAUCUCCGGCCAUGCACAACAUUUUGUCAUUGCUAAAUCUGAAUCUGGUACUGGGUUCCCUUUAGGUCAGCUCAGGUCCGAAACAGGUAGCGGUUAUAAACAGUGAUUCAGUUUUAUUGUCAAUCAGGGGGAGACAAUGGUGGCUGGGCGUGGUGUGUGAGCCACGCUACCCCCCUUCCCCAAUGCGCCACACCGGACUGAGUAGGUGCUCGCUGACAGCACAAGCACCGACCGACGGGCCCGCGUGACCAAAUGCGGCAUCUUUGUCUCGCCGUGGAGGCUGUCGGGUCACCACGGCGGACGGUCACCCACUUCAGGACACACGCCAAGAGAACAAGAAAGGCUGAUCUUAAUCUUAUUUUCCAAAGCUCUCCGGCCUUCCCUCCAUCACGGUGGCCGGCGGCAGCUGGUGUUGUGAAUCAGGCCGGUGGCGCAGCCCCUAGACACACGGCUGUUUCACUACAGCAGGGUCGCAUGCCACCACCGCCACCACCGCCGUGUAUUGAACAAAAAGUCCCGGAGACACUGCCCCAUUGGUGACGGGCACCACCUUGGGCUUGGGUUACCGCCAUAUAGUGAUGCUACGGUACGUCGUACGAAAUAAGAUCCAUGAGAAUCGUAUCGUCCGAUGCGCAAACUAUUGCAUUGUUGAUUUGAAGCUUUCGUGACUGCAGGAAUCCAUACUCUUUGGUUCUUUCGGUAAAGUCACGUAGGUAUGACUUUACCGAAAGAACCAAAGAGUAUUGUAUUGUUUUGAAACAGUUCAUGUCGUGACAAAAUAUUUCUGAAAUUAUAAUUAAAAUUCACUUAUAAUUGUUAAUUUAUAAAGGCGCAUUAAAGGCCUCAGCAACUUAAAGCGCCUUACUUCGCAUCUCAUCUUGAACAUUUUAAUGGGACCCCCACCUCCCUCACCCCCAGUGGCAGCUGUCUGUAUGCAGCACAAGGCGAUUGUACUGGCCCGCAAGUGGGCCUUUCUCUGCCAGUAGGAGUGUGAUGUUUGCUGUUGUGUGUAAUCCCAAUUGUUUUCUCUUCUUGCAUAUGACGGCGAUGUGGUCAGGAAGCUAGAUGAAAAUGUCGAUGUCUGCUGCUGGCCACGACGAGAGGGCUUCAGUAGAAAGAGAGGAGUUCGUGUCGUGUUGCUGUUCUUCCUCCGUUGUGGUUCACUGUACUGUAUGGUCAAUGUCGUAAACACACUUGAGUAAAUUUCAUGUAUAUUUUGUAAGGCGUGAACCCCAAUGGUAAUGUGUUAUUUUAAUAAAUAGCUUUAAUCCCAUUCAA
This is a long non-coding RNA of Petromyzon marinus (sea lamprey), 2624 nucleotides long. RefSeq lists it as uncharacterized. The record is from RefSeq and is a predicted model, not a curated record. Lineage: Eukaryota; Metazoa; Chordata; Hyperoartia; Petromyzontiformes; Petromyzontidae.